Molecule: ribosomal RNA, 465 nt
Filed under: uncultured bacterium
Lineage: Bacteria
Description: partial 16S ribosomal RNA
Rfam family: Bacterial small subunit ribosomal RNA
Source: RNAcentral
GACGAACGCUGGCGGCGUGCUUAACACAUGCAAGUCGAACGGAAAGGCCCUGCUUGCAGGGUACUCGAGUGGCGAACGGGUGAGUAACACGUGGGUGAUCUGCCCUGCACUUCGGGAUAAGCCUGGGAAACUGGGUCUAAUACCGGAUAGGAGCCAUUUUUAGUGUGAUGGUUGGAAAGUUUUUUCGGUGUAGGAUGAGCUCGCGGCCUAUCAGCUUGUUGGUGGGGUAAUGGCCUACCAAGGCGGCGACGGGUAGCCGGCCUGAGAGGGUGGACGGCCACAGUGGGACUGAGAUACGGCCCAGACUCCUACUGGAGGCAGCAGUGGGGAAUAUUGCACAAUGGGCGCAAGCCUGAUGCAGCGACGCCGCGUGGGGGAUGACGGCCUUCGGGUUGGAGUCUCCUUUCGCUAGUGACGAAGCUUUUUGUGACGGUACCUAGAUAAGAAGCACCGGCUAACUACGUG